GCGAUGGUGGCCUUGACUGUUGAUCCGAAAGCAUUUGUGGGUUAUAGCAGUGCUUUUCACGAUGUUGGAGAUGUUUCUCGUAACACAUGAAGUGAUUAACAGCAGGUACCGUGUGACCAAGGACCCAAUUGAAUUUUGGAGAGUAAUCUACACCGCAGUAUAUUAUGAUGUAAGUGCACCUCAUGGCAAUACAGAGGGGACAACUUCUGGAUCAUGAUCUAACUUUUGCCCCAAUGAAUGAAGGUUUCAGAAAAUCAGUUCUACCUUACAAAGAUUGUGACUACUUUCCCAGAAUACACCCAGAGUAUUAACUAAUUAGGAUUCUCAACAAUGACUCAUACAUUCUAUCUGUCAAGAUGACUACUGGUCAACAAAAUUGCAUAUAUUUUGUAUGUUCCCUUUCUAGAUAACUAACUCCUUGUGUCUUAUAGUACUAAUGCAGGCUUAUGAAAUUAAUACUCUUCAAAAUGUUGUUACAUCUGAUAUAUGUAUACAAUUAUGUAACAAUGGAUUUUAAAAUAAA
Molecule: long non-coding RNA, 523 nt
Organism: Limulus polyphemus (Atlantic horseshoe crab)
Lineage: Eukaryota; Metazoa; Arthropoda; Merostomata; Xiphosura; Limulidae
Exons: 3
Source: RefSeq, a predicted model, not a curated record